CGACUGCAUGUUCUGACCAAAGCUUCAAAAAGCAACUCCAAGACAGGUGUUGUCAAGUGCUUCCCAUUCGCUCCCCGGCCGCCAGGGUGGCUGACUUCAGCGGUUGUGCGAUAGGUUUGGUGGCCCUGACCUUUCCUUGUACCACCACUUAUGGGGGCGGUGCACGGUUCAGUGGGUUAUGGGAUUAUUUUAGCCAGAAGGUGCUGAAAAUAUUAACAAUAGAUUUUAUUGCUCUCUAUUAGCCCAGAAGAACGCAAAUUACCAUUUGUCAAAUGUUAUUUGAGUAAAAACUAUAGAAAUGUUUUUGGCAUGGGAGUGUAGGGGGAAAAAAGUGACCUUGAACUUUUGGUAGAGCCUGAUUUUAUCAUUUAAAAUUGUGUGCUUGCGAAGCUUUUGAUAUGUCAUUUAGAAGGUUGUGAGACUGGAUGUUAACUGUUCAACAAGAAAAACUCCCCACUCUGCCUUAAACUAAUUAUUUUAUUCCACCGAUGGGACCGUGUAAGCACUCAGGCCCCUCACCCUUCAACUCGAUUUUAGCCUUGAUUAACCUGAACAUAAUUAAAAUAAGACUAACGCCACUAGGUGGCCAUGGGGGUGUGGGGGUGCAUGUGUGGGUGGGUGACUUCGUGUGUGUGUAUGUCUAUGUAUGCGUGUGUGAGUGUGCACGUGUGGGUGGGUGACUGCAUGUGCGGGUGCGUGUGAGUGCAUGUGAUUGUGUGCAUGUGCGCACAUGUGGAUGGAUGACUGCAUGUGGGUGUGCAUGCAUGAGCAUGCAUGUGUGCAUGCAUGUGUGUGCAUGUGUGAGUGUGCAUGUAUGUGUGUGUGCAGGCAUGUGUGAGGGUACAUGUGUGGGUGGGUGACUUCGUGUCUGUGCAUGUGUGUGCCUAUGUGGGUGGAUGACUGCGUGUGUGUGUGUGUGCAUGUGAGUGUGCAUGUGUGUGCAUGCGUGUGUGCGUGCCUCGGGUGGGAGUGGAGUGGGUCACUCGCGCACAGUCCUGUUUUCUUUUAUAGACGCGCCCUCCUGUGGCCGCUGAAAAUAUUGCCCUGUAAAAUGCCAUCUCUGCCCUGCAUCCUGUGUUUCUGUCGCUGUUUUUCUGCGUGAAGCAUUUGGAGUCUCACAUGAAUAAAUAAACGUUCCCACAAAGCUACACAGACAUAUGCAAUUUUUUCAUAAAAUACUUGAUUUGGGGUUUUAUAAGUUGGGAUGCCUCGGUACUGAUGCACAGGUGCACCUUCUAAACUGAAUUUCUAAAGCGGGGCGCCCGCGUGCCUGGGGGCUCCUCACACCGGCAGGAGGACAGAGCCAAAGUGGAGGAAGGUGUGGGCGGGGCCGGCUCCCUCACGAGGCUCAGGAUGGACACUCCUUCCUGCCUCUCCCAGCUUCCGGCACACAAGCUGCUGCUUCUCCCAGCUUGUGGCCACACCCCUCCCAUCUCUGCCUCCGUCUCCACGUGGCCUCCCUCCCCGUCCCGGUCUCAAGUCUCCCUCCCCCUUCUCCUCUAAGGACGGCUGUUGUUGGGUUUGCUGGCAUUCUCAGUCCAGGAUGAUCUCCUCUCCAGGCCUUAACUUGUUACAUCUGCAAAGACGGCCUCUCGGGCAGGCAUGCUCACGGGUUCCAGGGGUCAGCAGGUGGACGUGUCUUCAGAGACCACCAUUCCCCUGCACAGGACUUGGGGAUCUCAGGGGGACUGGAAGGUGUGGGUGUCCGUGUUGCUGGAGUGUACAGGAGAAUGAGACAGGCAGGCCGGGCCAGGCCAUUCGCACUCUCCGUGUGGGUGAUGGGCUGCGGGACGCCUCUGUGGCUGACUGAAAGUGAGGUCCUCGGCCCAAGGACCUGUCCCUGCAAACUGGGACAACGCUGACAUCAGAGCUUCCCUGCAGAGCACCCGUCCCUCCAGCAGCCUCUGGGAGGACUCAGGGCUGUGGGGUCCGGUUUUCUUUCCUCACCUCACACCUGCCGUGGGCGUCUGCUGUGCCUGACAGGUGACGACGAAGUCAGCCUGCCCUGGAGAGGACGGAGCAGCCAGUAGCAGGAACUACCGAGACGCAGGGAGCGCUGGGAGCUGAGCGGAUGGUGGUCUGUCCUUUGGAGAUUUGUGGGCUGCUCUCUCCCCACUUCGCACUGACUCACAGCUCUGGGGGUUCACAGCUGUCUGCUCCCCAAGGCCUGGUCCCAGGGGGAUGAGGGACAAGAAGCGAUGGACACAGCUAUGUCCCCAACCACAACAAAACCACUCCAGGGCAGAUGCACACCUGAGGUCCCACGACCUCUUGAAGCCAAAGAGGGCUGAAAGGGAACAGGUGAUCCCAUCAGGUGACAGGUGACCUCAGGUGACAAGUGGCCCAUCAGUGACAGGUAAUCUUGUCAGGUGACAGGUGACCUUCCGUGUGGCAAGAAAGACAGACGUUGGCAGUCCCACAGCAGCUGCCUCGUCCUUGUGGGAAGGCCUCUGUCCCGCGGUGGGCAGGUCUAUGCAGACUCACCCCAAAGGCCAAGGGAGCUGAGAGGUGGAAGAGAAAGGCUGACAGACCCAGCUCCUCAGACAAACACUUCACAGGGACUUGGGAA
Molecule: long non-coding RNA, 2569 nt
Filed under: Homo sapiens (human)
Lineage: Eukaryota; Metazoa; Chordata; Mammalia; Primates; Hominidae
Description: HSALNT0131609
Source: RNAcentral